This 1271-nucleotide ribosomal RNA is filed under the name Melitaea scotosia. Its description in RNAcentral is "partial 16S ribosomal RNA". The record is from RNAcentral. Lineage: Eukaryota; Metazoa; Arthropoda; Insecta; Lepidoptera; Nymphalidae.
GGGGUUAAAUUAAUAAAGGUUAUAUUUAAUAAAAAAAAUUUUAAUAUUAAAAAGAAAAAAUGGGGGUUGGAGUAUUUUUAAUAGAAAAAAUUAAAAGUUUUAUAGUAAAAUAUUACUGUAAAGGAAAUUAUAAAUAUUUGAAAUUUAAUUAAUAAAAAAGUAGAUUUAAUUUAUUGUAUCUUGUGUAUCAGAGUUUAUUAAAUAUAAGUAAUUUAUUUAAAUAAAUCUCGAAUUUAAAAGAGUUAAUUAAUUAAUAAAGUUAAUGUUGUAUAAUUAUUUUAAAUAAUUAAUUGGAAAUGAAAUGUUAAUCGUUUUUAAAUAUAUCUAGUUUUUUUAGAAAAAAAUUUAAUUUUAAAUUUAAAUAAUUUUAUAAUUUUUUAAUUAAUUAUGAAAAUUUAAAAUUUAAUAUUUUAGGGGAUAAGCUUUAAAUUAAAUUAUUAUAAUUAAAAUUAAUCUAAUAAUUAAGAUUUUUAAAAUUUAUAUUGUUUAAAAAUUAUAAUUUAUUAUAAAAAAUUUUAUUUAAAAAUAAAAUUUAAUUAAAUUUAAAUUUUUAUAAAAAAAUAAUUUAAAAUUAUAAAAAAUUAAAAAUAAUGAUAAAAUUAGUAUAUUAAAAUUAAAUAAUAAGAAAAUUUUUAAAAAUUAAAUUAAAGGAAUUCGGCAAAAUUUAUAUUCACUUGUUUAUCAAAAACAUGUCUUUUUGAUAAUAAUUUAAAGUCUAGUCUGCCCACUGAUAAAAUUAUUAAAGGGCUGCAGUAUAUUGACUGUACAAAGGUAGCAUAAUCAUUAGUCUUUUAAUUGAAGACUUGUAUGAAAGAUUUGAUGAAAUAUAAACUGUCUCUAAUUUAUUAAUAAAAUUUAAUUUUUUAGUUAAAAAGCUAAAAUAAUAUUAAAAGACGAGAAGACCCUAUAAAGUUUUAUAAUUUAUUUAUUUAAUAUUAAAUAUAUAAUUAAAUAUAAUAAUUUAUAUAAAUUAUUUUAUUGGGGUGAUAAAAAAAUUUAAUUAACUUUUUUUUAUAUAAAAACAUAGAUAAAUGAAAUUAUGAUCCAUUUUUAAUGAUUAAAAGAAAAAAUUACUUUAGGGAUAACAGCGUAAUAUUUUUUUUUAGUACAAAUAAAAAAAAAAGUUUGCGACCUCGAUGUAGGAUUAAGAUAAAAUUUAAAUGCAAAAGUUUAAAAUUUUGAUCUGUUCGAUCAUUAAAAUCUUACAUGAUCUGAGUUCAAACCGGUGUGAGCCAGGUUGGUUUCUAUCUUUAAUAAAAUAAAAUAUUUUA